GUUUCUUGUCAGGCUCCAUUGCAUCAGGCCUUUAAGAAGGGGGUGAUACUGGGCGCUCCUCUUAGGAUCACGGAUGAGGACAUUCAGAAGUACUUAGGGGAAGGCGUUGUUUCUGGAGUGAAGCGCCUGUCAGCUAGGCGGGAGGGUAACGCCCUCCCGUCCUUUACGGUUCUUGCCCAGUUUGGAGGUUUGGAGUUACCUAAAGAGGUGGUUAUAGGAUACCAGAUCUUCAGGGUUCGCCCCUUUGUUCCCUCCCCCGUGCGUUGUUAUAAUUGCCAACGAUUUGGUCAUGUCGCCGCGGUUUGUCACAGCCAGGUGCCUUGUGGGAAGUGCGGCGACGCACAUUCUAUAAAACAAUGUGAGAGUCUUCUGCCUGCGAAGUGUUGUAAUUGUGGCGGUGCCCAUACCCUGGGAUAUCGAGGUUGUGUGGUUUCUAAGCAGGCCUGGGAGGUCCAGGCGCUUAGGAUAGAGCAUGGCAUCUCUUAUUCAGCUGCUGUUAAGCGACAUAGGGAGGCUGGUGAGGUGCUGGAGGGAGUUGGGGGUCCUCCGCCACCUUCUUCCUCUUUUCCUUCCACUCUGUGGUGCUGGAUGGAGGGGUCGCUUGCCGUUUCCCCACCAAAGAGAAGUUUUGGGUAUUUAUGGUAGAGGUAAUAAAUUGCACUGCCCAGACAGACUGAACGGCGUUCUGAGAAGUUAGCAAUAAUAUUGAAGGCAGCUGAAAAGUAUUUAGGUAUGGGUUCUAUGACAGCUGGCCAGAUAUGUGCAGAGCUGGGUCACUCUGUAUCCUAGGAUGCGGUCUCUGUCUAUUUUCAGUUGGAACGCUCACAGCAUUUGCGCUCACGGCCAAGAAUUGAAGUAUGUUUUAUCAACUAGUUCGUUUCCUCCUUUGGUUGUUUGCAUUCAGGAAAUUUGGUUGGCCCCUUCCUUGGCCUUCCGUUUGCCUGGCUAUGUUUUUUUACGCAAAGACCGGACUGAGGGACGAGGAGGUGGUGUAGCUUUGGGUAUUUUAGAAGGUUUGAACUAUUUGGAAGUUGAUGUUAGGACUGAGGAGAUUGAGGUUUUGGCUAUCGAAAUUCCGCUGGUAGGAUUGUCAGUGCCAGUUAGGAUAGUAAAUACAUAUAACCCGUGCCGGCUUAUUUCUAGGGAAUUAUUGGAGACACUGCUUGAUGGUGUUCGGGGUCCGGUUAUUUUUUGUGGGGAUUUUAAUAGUUAUAAUCCUCUGUGGGGCAGUUCUAGACUUGAUUCUAAUGGAAAGGUUUUGGAGGCGUUCUGUGCUGACCAUAGUUUUGUGAUUCUUAAUGAUGACAUUCCGACCAGGUUUGAUUCUAGUUCUGGACGGAUGUCUUUUUUGGAUUUGGGAAUAGUUUCUAGCUCAAUAGCUGGGAAAUGUUCUUGGGAAGUUCUAUCUGAUCUUCAUAUGGGAAGCGACCAUCUUCCUACCUUAUUGCAGUUUGGAGAGCAAGGGCUUUUUGAGCAGCGCUCCUUGGGCCUUCGUUGGAAUUAUACGAAGGCUGACUGGAAUCUAUUCCAGACCUCCUGUACACGGGAGUUGGCGUUGGCCCCAGCCUCAGCUCCAGUAGAGGAGCUUGCUGACAUUGUUUCGUCUGGUGUCUUUAGGGCAGCCUCUCUUGCUGUUCCCAGAUCUGGAGCUCGGGGUACAUCCCGUCGUUUGGUCCCCUGGUGGUCAGAGGAUUGUAAACUGGCUGUCCAAGCACGGAAUCGUGCUUUUAGGAAAGCUAAACGUACUAUGUCUGGGGCUGAUCUGCUUGUAUACAAGCGUUUGAGGGCUAAAGUGAAGUUGGUUGUUUGGUCGGCGAAGAGGAAGAGCUGGAGUUCCUAUUGUGACAGGUUGUCAGUAGACGUUCCUGUUGGGAACGUCUUUAGGCAGAUUCGGAAGAUGAAUGGGGUUUAUCCAAAGAUGAGAGCAGGGGCGUAGCAAGGUUGGAAUGGGCCCAGAGACAAGAUUUUAAAAUGGGGCCCCCCCACUCAAAGUCCAGGGCCUCCGCACACCCCAGGCCCCCAAGGGUUUAAGUCUGAUAUUACAAAAUAAGUAUGCUGCCUGGAAAUACAUUUCACUGAAUACACACAUGCACACUUCACAGUAUAUAGUGAUAUACAUUGAGUACUAUAUAUUUGUGCUACUUUUAAUGCCUAGAACACACUAGAAAGACGAAUUAUUAAAAUGGGCCCCUCGCUGCAGAUUAGCAAAGGAGACUUUCAACCAUGCAGGGUGAGCCUAUGUUUGUUUUCUCAGAAUUCUGAACAAAUUCAGUCGAUUCCAGGAGGUUUUCCACACCAGGCUUUUAAAGCCCUUUAACACACUUCUCCUCCUCGGGAAUGAUGGAGGUGCUGCAUUCACAGGUGUGCCAGAUUUACCCUAAAGUCCCUGCAAGUGAUUGGAGAGCAGUUCACACACAAGAAAAAUGAAAUCGAAUAAAAGCACCACACCUGCUUCACAGUUCUCACUCAGACCUUCUGGGUUGCAAAACAACUUGAACAUAAGUGCAUUUACAAAUGAAUGAAUAAAAUAAAUAUAAUACUGUUUCUUCCAGAAGUUUUUGUAAUUUUCUGCCAUGAAACAAGCCACUUAUAGGACUUUUUAGACAGUUUUUUUUAAGCCAGCAAAUUUUCCAAGCUGUUUUAAAAUAAAUAUCCAGAGACUUCUCAGUCCCAGCCCCCAUAUCAAAGCCCUAUGGCAAGCAGAGGCCUAUAUAUCUGUGGGGGGCGGGGGGCGGGGAAGGUAACCACAAAAAGGAGUUCACACUCUACCUGGCAGCAAGGGGUCUUCUGCUGCAGAGACCAGUGGUGGCCACUCUGGCUGGCUGGCUUGGGCCCUACUCGAGUUCAGGCUUCACAGAGGCCUACACGAGGCCUCCGUGGAAGCCCCGCCCACCCGCCGAUCAGCUGAGAGGCGGGAGAAAAGGAGCUCUUGGCAGCUGGGCUGCUGCUUCCAUUGCUGGCCAGGAGAACAAGCUGGAGAGACGGAGAACAGGGUGGCGUUAGUGGGAUCAUACGGUCCUGGUACGCCGUUACCAUCCACAGGAAGAAGAAGGACGCCAUUGGGUGACAAUACGGAUCGCUCCCUCACUCCCAAACCGAAAAGCAGCCGCAAAAUUAGGAGCGGCGGCACCUUCCUUCUUGCCUCUAUGUGGCGCGUGCCCACCGUGGAGCUUCCUGUGCGCAUGCGGUUUCUAGCCGAUGGUCCCUCACUACGCCUGCGCGCUUUUGAGCCUCGCUGAGUCUGGGAUGCGCAUGCGCUUAGCACCCCCUUGCUC
Molecule: RNA transcript, 3275 nt
Organism: Hemicordylus capensis (graceful crag lizard)
Lineage: Eukaryota; Metazoa; Chordata; Lepidosauria; Squamata; Cordylidae
Gene: MLST8
Gene name: MTOR associated protein, LST8 homolog
Exons: 2
Source: RefSeq, a predicted model, not a curated record